UAACACCCUAUCCCUCUCUCUCGCACCAACGUCUCUCUCUAAAAUAUUUGACCCAAUAACAUAUUAUCGACCAAACCUCUCUCCCCCUUAUUCUCUCUCUAAGAGGUGCCUGCAACAGUGAGAGUGGGAGGGAUAGGAGCUCUCUGUCUCUAAGUGGUGCCUGCAACAGUGAGAUAGGAGCUCUCUCUCUCGCUCUAAGAGGUUCCUGCAACAGUGAGAGUGGGAGGGACGAGAACUUUUUCUCUCAGUUUCUCUCUCCUUAUGCUCUUUUGUCUCUGUACCUCUACUGCAUUUUUUUUCUUCUUGUUUUCUCUCUCCUCUUUCAUUUUCUCUCUCUAGGAAGCAUUUCUUUAUAUGGACUGUUAGCAAUGGGGGAAGUCAGUUUUCAGAGAUAGCCUUAGUAAGUUAGCUUCUAUUUUUUGUGAAAACUGUUCCUAUUGCUUAGCGAGAUACAAAAUAUAUAAAAACAAAGAAAUCAGGGCUUAUUGCGAUAAGUAUUAAUAGUUAAAGGUACGAUUAAGCCAUUGCUGAAAUCCGUUGCCUUAGCUUCAAUUCCGUAUGGUUAGAGAGAGAAACAGAGGAAGUUGCACGGUCAAACCCUAUUUUUGACGCCAUUGAUAAAAUCUUCGUAGAGAGGGUCUACACUCUACUCAUCUCCCUGUUUCUCGAAGCUUCUCGAUGAGACUCUUCCUCGUUUCUCAGAACCGAGUGCAGCCUAUCUGAACAAGUUGCAGAGAUACUGAUUCAUGUCUUCGAAGAAAAUUGGUCUCAUUUGAGAAGGAUUCUGUCAGAAAUGGCAGAUCAUGACUCGAUCCCUAGGGUUUCUGGUGUGGAUUAGAGGAUCAACCACUGUAACCCUAAUGAAUUAUCUUAUUUCAUCAAUUUGGAGACGAUCAAUGGAGAAAAUGGACAAAGGGGGAAGCUAGGGUUUGUGUGCAAUGUUGAGGAGUUGCAGGACCUGGUUGCUUUGAUCAACGAAGCUAUAAAUCUGCUGAGAGAUUAGCUAAUGAUGCAAAUCCCUCUUAAUUUCUCAGAAUCCAUUGCUAUUUUUCUGAUCAAAAGCCAUGGAAUUUUUGUGAUCCAUUAAUUUGGAGGAUACUGAGUUGAUCAGAAAAACAAGUUUGCGCUGUAAAAUUGUAGGUUAUGUUGAUUCCUUAACGCUUCUUCUACUCUUUUGAAAUUGAGAUUUGGAACACUGAAGAGCGGUUUUGCUAUAUUGAUUUGGAUAUGAGAAAGCGAGAGACAGAGAGACAGAGAGAGAGGAAUUUGAGAGAGAAGAGAGCUCGCAUUUAAGAGAGAGAUUUAGGGUUUCUUGUGAGCUGUUUACAGUUCACAAGUCUCAGUUACCCUCCCUUUCUUCUGCCCUUUCUUAUUCCUCCUUUGAAAAACCCCAGUUCCUUUCUCUGUCCUCUUCUAAACCCUUCUAGACCCCUGAACAAGAGUUUCGAAGCUUACUUGUUCCCUAAACGGUGAUUCAUCUACCAAAAGACAUGGCUUUAGAGAGAGACGGUGAAACGGUGCUUCAUAUGCCAAAAGACAUGGCUUUAAAGAGAUCCAAGGGGUUAUAAGAUAGAAAAUAUGGAGGCCUUUUGUUUAUUGGUAGUAUUUUCAAUUUUUGGAUCGAUGAGGUAGACAAGUUAAAAAUAGGGGGUAAGAGGAUAUUUUUUUUAAGAAUUAAGUAUUUAUGGCACACCAAAUUUAAAACGUAUACUACACAUUAUUACACAUUUCAUAAGCAUAGCUAUAAGUCAAUCCAUAUACACAUAGUAUGGACGAUGAUCCCAACCACAAGGAGCUUCCAAUAAUCCACGGUUCGACGGACGCAAGCUAGCUCCCGCUCCCGGGAACUCACUCGCACCUGAGUACAAUGAUUGGAGCACCUCUAGUCUAGGCAUCAAGCAUUAGGUAUUGUAGGAAGAAUUCUUAUCUGUCUACAUCCAUCUGAAUUGAGAGAGCAUCAACUUAUGAGUUCUUCAUAUUCUGUCUCUGAGGCCUAAUGUGCUUAGUAUGUAUAAUCCACUAUGUUGUGGAGAUUCUUAGCAAUUGUUCAUGUGAUGUUAAAUAUUUUUGGCAUUUUGGCUGGCAUGGUUAAUGUGGAAUGUAACCCUUGAUUAUGGACUGUGCUUCUGAUGCUGUCAAUCAUGAUUCUUGCUGGUUGGAAUGAGUUUGAUUAUUCUUAGAGCUUUUGUCUUGCUGUUGAUCAUCUUGUGUCCCUGCUAUUGAUCAUCUUCGAAUAUUAGUGCUCGUUCUCAUGUAUGUUCAAUUAUCUUGUGUCUUUGGUCUUUCGUAUUGUGAUUUCUGUAGUUUUUUGGGUUCUUUGAUUAGUGUUAAUUGAACAUGAUCCUUUAUGUUCUCUUUCAGAUCUAACCUUCUUAUCACUAAUUCCAUCAGAAAAUCGUUCUUCAAGAAAUUUGUGUUAUUUUGAUUAAUCAAAGCUUUUUCCAUAAAAAGCUGUAUGGCCAUUGGAAGUUGUAGAGCAAGCCUCCAUCCAAAUGGAGACGAAGCAAAGGACUAAAGUAACCGUGGUAGUUGAUAUACCAGAUGAAGGGUUUUAUCUGUGUUCUCUAUGAUCAAUAGAAAUUGCAGAGCAUGUUGUGCCUAAUUUUCUUAUAAAUGAUGCAGAAAAUCCCAACACUGAAAUUUCUGCCUAUCUCCACAACUCUCCAACCAAGCUAGCAUAUAUCAGAAUCCAUGCCUGCUUCAAUGGAUGAGUUUCUCCCCCUUAAUCUUGAUGGAAAUGACUCAUUCGAGCAAAGUCCAACAGCAGCCCACACCAAAUCAUCGCCAUGAGGGAGAUACAAAGCAGAUGCCAUUCUUUCAAGCGUGCUGAGGUGGCCUGAGCCUCGAUGACUGACCCUAUGUCACCUGACUUGGUGCAAGCUCCAUCCGAGAAAUCAAUGACUUUGGCUUUUCGUCGGCUUCAAUAGGUGGAUAUAGCUUCGUCUGUCGUGUGGACCUCCGAUAAUUUGCAGAACUCAGCUACCUAUGCUUGGAGGCCCAAAGAUGGAUGCUAUUAUUUUAUAUAGAUGUCCUCUUAUCAGCAGCGCCCUCAUCAACCUGUUCACCCGAUUCCAUCACAAAUGUGAUGCAAGAACUUUGGGAAUAAGGAAUACUGAAGUUGUAUUGUAUUUUUGGUUGAGAAACCUUUAUUAUGCCCUUGGGAAAAGGCAACCUGUGCAUAUGUCUUUUCCUUAGGAGACACUAGGACUUUUAAAUGAUUCUAAAGCUCCGACUCA
Molecule: non-coding RNA, 3236 nt
Organism: Amborella trichopoda
Lineage: Eukaryota; Viridiplantae; Streptophyta; Magnoliopsida; Amborellales; Amborellaceae
Source: RefSeq, a predicted model, not a curated record